CCUACGGGUGGCAGCAGUGGGGGAUAUUGCACAAUGGGGGAAACCCUGAUGCAGCGACGCCGCGUGGGGGAAUGAAGGUCUUCGGAUUGUAAACCCCUGUCAUGUGGGAGCAAAUUAAAAAGAUAGUACCACAAGAGGAAGAGACGGCUAACUCUGUGCCAGCAGCCGCGGUAAUACAGAGGUCUCAAGCGUUGUUCGGAAUCACUGGGCGUAAAGCGUGCGUAGGCUGUUUCGUAAGUCGUGUGUGAAAGGCCCGGGCUCAACCCGCGGACGGCACAUGAUACUGCGAGACUAGAGUAAAGGAGGGGGAACCGGAAUUCUCGGUGUAGCAGUGAAAUGCGUAGAUAUCGAGAGGAACACUCGUGGCGAAGGCGGGUUCCUGGACAUUAACUGACGCUGAGGCACGAAGGCCAGGGGAGCGAAAGGGAUUAGAUACCCCUGUAGUC
This 446-nucleotide ribosomal RNA is filed under the name uncultured bacterium. RNAcentral describes it as "partial 16S ribosomal RNA". It matches the Rfam family "Bacterial small subunit ribosomal RNA", at positions 338 to 795 of the family's 1533-position model. The record is from RNAcentral.